RNAcentral lists this transfer RNA (76 nucleotides) under Mycoplasmataceae bacterium. RNAcentral's name for it is "tRNA-Val". It matches the Rfam family "tRNA". Rfam says of the family: Transfer RNA (tRNA) molecules are approximately 80 nucleotides in length. Their secondary structure includes four short double-helical elements and three loops (D, anti-codon, and T loops). The record is from RNAcentral. Lineage: Bacteria; Bacillati; Mycoplasmatota; Mollicutes; Mycoplasmatales; Mycoplasmataceae.
GGAGCGUUAGCUCAGCUGGGAGAGCAUUUGCCUUACAAGCAAGAGGUCAUAGGUUCGAUCCCUAUACGCUCCACCA